RNAcentral lists this long non-coding RNA (594 nucleotides) under Canis lupus familiaris (dog). RNAcentral describes it as "lncRNA (ENSCAFG00030015552.1)". The record is from RNAcentral. Lineage: Eukaryota; Metazoa; Chordata; Mammalia; Carnivora; Canidae.
GGAAGAACACUGGAUGCAGAGUUAGAAACGUUAGCUAUCAGCUGUGAAAUCUUGGCUAAUCCCCCUCCCCCUGGGGAUUAUUUUCCUUAGUCGUACAAUGAAAACGCUGUGGUCAGCCGAGGAACACCUGGCAACUUUUCACAAAUGCUUCAGGAGCUGCUGUGGGGAAGAAGAGCAGAUUUCUCCGACUGUCAAGUGGGGUAGUCAAGGCCCUGGAUGGAACACGUAGGCGUGAAAUGAUAAAGAACGAGGAGAGCAGGCUUCCUAUCAAGCUAGGGCAAGGAAGGAAGGCUGCAGACCCAGAGGAAACAGAGAAUGAAGGAGCUCAUGGCUGUUUCUGCAUCCUCCAGCAUCUCCAAUCCAGGGGUUUCUGGAAGGAUUAGGCAGUUUCUGACUCCGAGAGCUGGAAAAGGGUAUCCUUACAGAAAACACAGUGACUCCUGGACCCUGAGAAACAUAAAAUGCAUGAGUAAAGUAACCCUGAAGAUCAUCCAAUACAAGGAUUUUAAACACUGUGUUUCAUGGAGCCUUAGGAGAGAUGCAAAGUGUGCUGCAGAAAUAAAGGCUUCAGACCUCUGUCUUUCGCUUCAAUGA